AUUCCAGCUCCAAUAGCGUAUAUUAAAGUUGUUGCAGUUAAAAAGCUCGUAGUUGGAUUUGUGGUGCUGCCUGCAGUCCAAUUAGCUUUGGUGCUAGCGGGUGGUGCCAUCUUUGGGUGGAACCUGUAGGGCAUUAGCUUGUUUUGCAGGGGAUAUUCAUCGUUUACUGUGAAAAAAUUAGAGUGUUCAAAGCAGGCUUACGCCGAUGAAUAUACUAGCAUGGAAUAAUGAAAUAGGACUUUGGUACUAUUUUGUUGGUUUGCGCGCCAAAGUAAUGAUUAAUAGGGACAGUUGGGGGUAUUCGUAUUCCAUAGUCAGAGGUGAAAUUCUUGGAUUUUUGGAAGACGAACUACUGCGAAAGCAUUUACCAAGGAUGUU
RNAcentral lists this ribosomal RNA (378 nucleotides) under Pinnularia subgibba. RNAcentral describes it as "SSU rRNA". It matches the Rfam family "Eukaryotic small subunit ribosomal RNA", at positions 582 to 968 of the family's 1831-position model. Lineage: Eukaryota; Bacillariophyta; Bacillariophyceae; Sellaphorales; Pinnulariaceae. The record is from RNAcentral.